Molecule: ribosomal RNA, 272 nt
Filed under: uncultured archaeon
Lineage: Archaea
Description: partial 16S ribosomal RNA
Rfam family: Archaeal small subunit ribosomal RNA
Source: RNAcentral
CUGCGCCACGAGUGGUGGUCGCGUUUAUUGGGCCUAAAGCGUCCGUAGCCGGAUUAAUAACUCUUUUGUGAAAUUGUUGGUCUUAAGCUAACAACGUGCAGAAGAAACUGUUAAUCUUGGGACCGGAGAGAAGUCAGAAGUAUGAUGGGGGGAGCGGUAAAAUGCUAUAAUCCUCAUUAUACUACCUGUGGCGAAGGCGUCUGACUAGAACGGAUCUGACGGUGAGGGACGAAAGCUAGGGGAGCAAUCCGGAUUAGAUACCCGCGUAGUCC